This 1491-nucleotide ribosomal RNA is filed under the name Enterococcus faecalis. RNAcentral's name for it is "bacterial SSU rRNA". It matches the Rfam family "Bacterial small subunit ribosomal RNA". Lineage: Bacteria; Bacillati; Bacillota; Bacilli; Lactobacillales; Enterococcaceae. The record is from RNAcentral.
GAAGUUUGAUCCUGGCUCAGGACGAACGCUGGCGGCGUGCCUAAUACAUGCAAGUCGAACGCUUCUGUCCUCCCGAGUGCUUGCACUCAAUUGGAAAGAGGAGUGGCGGACGGGUGAGUAACACGUGGGUAACCUACCCAUCAGAGGGGGAUAACACUUGGAAACAGGUGCUAAUACCGCAUAACAGUUUAUGCCGCAUGGCAUAAGAGUGAAAGGCGCUUUCGGGUGUCGCUGAUGGAUGGACCCGCGGUGCAUUAGCUAGUUGGUGAGGUAACGGCUCACCAAGGCCACGAUGCAUAGCCGACCUGAGAGGGUGAUCGGCCACACUGGGACUGAGACACGGCCCAGACUCUACGGGAGGCAGCAGUAGGGAAUCUUCGGCAAUGGACGAAAGUCUGACCGAGCAACGCCGCGUGAGUGAAGAAGGUUUUCGGAUCGUAAAACUCUGUUGUUAGAGAAGAACAAGGACGUUAGUAACUGAACGUCCCCUGACGGUAUCUAACCAGAAAGCCACGGCUAACUACGUGCCAGCAGCCGCGGUAAUACGUAGGUGGCAAGCGUUGUCCGGAUUUAUUGGGCGUAAAGCGAGCGCAGGCGGUGUCUUAAGUCUGAUGUGAAAGCCCCCGGCUCAACCGGGGAGGGUCAUUGGAAACUGGGAGACUUGAGUGCAGAAGAGGAGAGUGGAAUUCCAUGUGUAGCGGUGAAAUGCGUAGAUAUAUGGAGGAACUCCAGUGGCGAAGGCGGCUCUCUGGUCUGUAACUGACGCUGAGGCUCGAAAGCGUGGGGAGCAAACAGGAUUAGAUACCCUGGUAGUCCACGCCGUAAACGAUGAGUGCUAAGUGUUGGAGGGUUUCCGCCCUUCAGUGCUGCAGCAAACGCAUUAAGCACUCCGCCUGGGGAGUACGACCGCAAGGUUGAAACUCAAAGGAAUUGACGGGGGCCCGACAAGCGGUGGAGCAUGUGUUUAAUUCGAAGCAACGCGAAGAACCUUACCAGGUCUUGACAUCCUUUGACCACUCUAGAGAUAGAGCUUUCCCUUCGGGGACAAAGUGACAGUGGUGCAUGGUUGUCGUCAGCUCGUGUCGUGAGAUGUUGGGUUAAGUCCGCAACGAGCGCAACCCUUAUUGUUAGUUGCCAUCAUUUAGUUGGGCACUCUAGCGAGACUGCCGGUGACAAACCGGAGGAAGGUGGGGAUGACGUCAAAUCAUCAUGCCCCUUAUGACCUGGGCUACACACGUGCUACAAUGGGAAGUACAACGAGUCGCUAGACCGCGAGGUCAUGCAAAUCUCUUAAAGCUUCUCUCAGUUCGGAUUGCAGGCUGCAACUCGCCUGCAUGAAGCCGGAAUCGCUAGUAAUCGCGGAUCAGCACGCCGCGGUGAAUACGUUCCCGGGCCUUGUACACACCGCCCGUCACACCACGAGAGUUUGUAACACCCGAAGUCGGUGAGGUAACCUAUGAGGAGCCAGCCGCCUAAGGUGGGAUAGAUGAU